This 139-nucleotide unclassified non-coding RNA is filed under the name soil metagenome. RNAcentral describes it as "partial internal transcribed spacer 1". The record is from RNAcentral.
CAUUCAGUAGCCCAGCUACUUGUUACACCCUUGUUUUUUUUGCGUACUUAUCGUUUCCUCGGCGGGCUUGCCUGCCGGUUGGACAACUUUAUAACCUUUUUAAAUCUUCAAUCAGCGUCUGAAUAAUAUACAAUAAUUA